UCAAACCAAGUGUAUUCACCCCACUGGAUUCUGCAUCUAUAUACCAUAGCUUGUACAAAACCAAACAAUAAUUUAUCUGUCAAGACAAAGGUAGGGGUGUGACUUCUCAGAAAUGUUCAUCUGUUUCCCAGAACUGCCUGUUGGUCUGUUGUUGAGCGGCUGGUAUCACCCUCCCACCCAUUACCCCCCACGUUGUUCCACCUCCGCUUCUGGGAGGAACCAGGCGGGGCCACAGAGCAGUCCACCAGGCCCCACAAUGCAGCCUCCACACCGCUGCAGUAGCAGCCACAUCUUCCCAUCACAAAGCUUCAGUACUAGGCAGCAAAGAGCACUUUGAUGUGGAUGUUUCAUCUGGAUACACAGAAGGGAUGGAUGGAUCUGACAGAG
Molecule: non-coding RNA, 387 nt
Organism: Salvelinus sp. IW2-2015
Lineage: Eukaryota; Metazoa; Chordata; Actinopteri; Salmoniformes; Salmonidae
Source: RefSeq, a predicted model, not a curated record